CAAACUAUAUAUCUUGAAAUUGAGGAUUAUCAUACGAGUAUGCUAGGGUUAUACUAGCAUAAUCGUUUCAGCGAUGUUGAGGCGAUGGUUACGAAACUCGGGGGACCGAAAGAGGUGACCUAUAGGCAAGUACCAUCAACUAAAAUAGGGCAAUGUGGGGGAGGAGAAAGAGAAGUUAAGUCAUUUCUUUUCAAAUGUUUCUUUCAAUCGUAUAUGAGUACAUUAGAUUAAGAAAUAGGUAUAAAUACACAAGUCAAAUCAUUUACUAAAAAUUUGUAAUAGCAUAAUUAAUAUAUAGUACAACAAGUUGUGCACAGCAUUUUUGUCACAUACUUGCAAGUUGUGAUGGGGGUAAGUAAAUGCAUAUGUAUGAGAUACUUCAUUUUG
This 387-nucleotide long non-coding RNA is filed under the name Linum usitatissimum (flax). RNAcentral describes it as "long non-coding RNA (LUSI_LNC001385)". The record is from RNAcentral. Lineage: Eukaryota; Viridiplantae; Streptophyta; Magnoliopsida; Malpighiales; Linaceae.